Molecule: ribosomal RNA, 348 nt
Filed under: uncultured soil bacterium
Lineage: Bacteria
Description: bacterial SSU rRNA
Rfam family: Bacterial small subunit ribosomal RNA
Source: RNAcentral
AGAUUGAACGCUGGCGGCAUGCCUUACACAUGCAAGUCGAACGGCAGCACGGGAGCAAUCCUGGUGGCGAGUGGCGAACGGGUGAGUAAUACAUCGGAACGUGCCCAAUCGUGGGGGAUAACGCAGCGAAAGCUGUGCUAAUACCGCAUAAGAUCUACGGAUGAAAGCAGGGGAUCGCAAGACCUUGCGCGAAUGGAGCGGCCGAUGGCAGAUUAGGGUAGUUGGUACGAGGGUUAAAAGGCUUACGACCCGAAGCCCUUUCGAUCUGUAGCUGGUCUGAGUAGGACGACCAGCCACGACUGGGACCUGACGUACACCGGCCCAGACCUCCGUACGGGAGCAGCAGGU